RNAcentral lists this long non-coding RNA (4845 nucleotides) under Chlamydomonas reinhardtii. RNAcentral's name for it is "long non-coding RNA (CREI_LNC000042)". Lineage: Eukaryota; Viridiplantae; Chlorophyta; Chlorophyceae; Chlamydomonadales; Chlamydomonadaceae. The record is from RNAcentral.
CUUGGGUGCGCCCAUAGCGUCCAGCGCCGCCUUCACCUUGCCGUACACCUCCUUUGGGGGAGGGACAGCGCUGAUCACGUGGCACUUGCCCUGCGCAAGGUAGUGGUCCUUCACAGGCAGCGACUGAUCCAGGAAGGUGCGGAAGCGCUUGCGAAUGGUGUCGGCGUUGUCGUCGCUGCGGCCGCUGGUCUCCCCGCGCUUCAGCAGGCGCUUCUCCAUCUCCUCCUCCGGGCAGUCGAAGAACAGCACCGUCUUGCACGGCAUGAUGCUGCUCUCAAACUGCUCCGCCUGGUCCAGCGCGCGUGGAAAGCCGUCGAUGAGGAAGAACUUGCCGCCGCUGGCUAUCAUGUCCCGCUUCAGCAGGUUGAGCGUGACAGCCACCGGCACGAGCUUGCCCUCCUUCAUCAGCGCCUCGCACUUCUGGCCGACCUCGCUGCCGCUCUUCACCUCAGCGCGCAGCAGGUCGCCGGCGCUGAGGUGCACGCACUCAUACUCCUCCUUGAUCUGAUCGCAUUGCGUGCCCUUGCCGCUGCCGGGGCCGCCGAGCACGAACACGAUCUGGGCAUCGGCGGGCAGGCUGCCAGGCACAGGCGGCAGCGCAAUCUCCUGCGGGCACGUGCAGCCGAGGACAUUCAGGUUAGGACCGAAUGGCACCAGCCGCAAUCAGAUGCUACGAAACAAAAGCUAUUACUUCCAUGCGGAGAUUAAUUGGCACAGCUGCUAUCCGUUUCCCGCCCCAGCAGCCCCGCAUUAUAGUCAAAAACGCCGUACAACGCAUCCCGGCUUUCCCUUACCUCUGAAACCGCAGCAGCCGCCUUCUUCGGCGCGUGCAAGCCCUCCAACACCACCUUCACCUUGCCGUACACAUCGUCCGGAGCCGCCACAGCGCUGAUCACGUGGCACUUGCCCUGCGCAAGGUAGUGGUCCUUCACAGGCAGCGACUGCUCCAGGAAGGUGUGGAAGCGCUUGCGAAUGGUGUCGGCGUUGUCGUCGCUGCGGCCGCUGGUCUCCCCGCGCUUCAGCAGGCGCUUCUCCAUCUCCUCCUCCGGGCAGUCAAAGAACAGCACCGUCUUGCACGGCAUAAUGCUGCUCUCAAACUGCUCCGCCUGGUCCAGCGCGCGCGGAAAGCCGUCGAUGAGGAAGAACUUGCCACCGCUGGCUAUCAUGUCCCGCUUCAGCAGGUUGAGCGUGACAGCCACCGGCACGAGCUUGCCCUCCUUCAUCAGCGCCUCGCACUUCUGGCCGACCUCGCUGCCGCUCUUCACCUCAGCGCGCAGCAGGUCGCCGGCGCUGAGGUGCACGCACUCGUAGUCGGCCUUAAUCUUGUCGCAUUGCGUGCCCUUGCCGCUGCCGGGGCCGCCGAGCACGAACACGAUCUGGGCAUCGGCAGGCAGGCUGCCAGGCACAGGCGGCAGCGCGAUGUCCUGUUGCAUGAACGGAGAGCACAGAAGGAGGCAAGACGUUUCAGUUUUACAGUGACCAAACAUCCACUUGGCGCUACGGCCCGAGUGCUUCCCAAAGCACCCAUAGCAUCCUGCUGUCGCAUACAGCGCUGUGCGCAUCCCGAAAUUAAAGCCCCAACAAUUGGACAUAAGACAAGCCCAUGUCCAUUCACGACCCAAAUCUACGUGCUCAGGUCACGGCGCCGCAAAGUCCACCCAAGCAAAGCCCCACCCACCUCGGACUUCUUGGGUGCGCCCAUAGCGUCCAGCGCCGCCUUCACCUUGCCGUACACUUCCUUUGGGGGAGGGACAGCGCUGAUCACGUGGCACUUGCCCUGCGCAAGGUAGUGGUCCUUCACAGGCAGCGACUGAUCCAGGAAGGUGCGGAAGCGCUUGCGAAUGGUGUCGGCGUUGUCGUCGCUGCGGCCGCUGGUCUCCCCGCGCUUCAGCAGGCGCUUCUCCAUCUCCUCCUCCGGGCAGUCAAAGAACAGCACCGUCUUGCACGGCAUGAUGCUGCUCUCAAACUGCUCCGCCUGGUCCAGCGCGCGUGGAAAGCCGUCGAUGAGGAAGAACUUGCCGCCGCUGGCUAUCAUGUCCCGCUUCAGCAGGUUGAGCGUGACAGCCACCGGCACGAGCUUGCCCUCCUUCAUCAGCGCCUCGCACUUCUGGCCAACCUCGCUGCCGCUCUUCACCUCAGCGCGCAGCAGGUCGCCGGCGCUGAGGUGCACGCACUCAUACUCCUCCUUGAUCUGAUCGCAUUGCGUGCCCUUGCCGCUGCCGGGGCCGCCGAGCACGAACACGAUCUGGGCGUCGGCAGGCAGGCUGCCGGGCACGGGCGGCAGCGCAAACUCCUGCAUAGGGACGAAAAUGCAAUGGAAAUCAGCAAGCCGAGAUUAAUAAUCAGUGGAAACUUACGCAUCAGUACACUUGCACUUCAGUACGCAUCCUACUACCGGGAGGAUACGGUAAGGCAGGCAGGCAGAGGCCAUCGAUUUCACGCUUGCCCCAGCUUUCCGUACGAUGUACCGUAUGCUAGGUUGCUUGACCGGAACCCGUGCAAGACGCACACGGAUAUACCACCGGUGAACAGCCAUGACCGCUCACCUCCAAAGCAGCCGCAGCAGGAGUAGCCGAAACUGUCGCAGUCACGCCCGCCUUCUUCGGCGCGUGCAAGCCCUCCAGCACCACCUUCACCUUGCCGUACACAUCGUCCGGAGCCGCCACAGCGCUGAUCACGUGGCACUUGCCCUGCGUAAGGUAGUGGUCCUUCACAGGCAGCGACUGAUCCAGGAAGGUGCGGAAGCGCUUGCGAAUGGUGUCGGCGUUGUCGUCGCUGCGGCCGCUGGUCUCCCCGCGCUUCAGCAGGCGCUUCUCCAUCUCCUCCUCCGGGCAGUCGAAGAACAGCACCGUCUUGCACGGCAUGAUGCUGCUCUCAAACUGCGCCGCCUGGUCCAGCGCGCGCGGAAAGCCGUCGAUGAGGAAGAACUUGCCGCCGCUGGCUAUCAUGUCCCGCUUCAGCAGGUUAAGCGUGACAGCCACCGGCACGAGCUUGCCCUCCUUCAUCAGCGCCUCGCACUUCUGGCCGACCUCGCUGCCGCUCUUCACCUCAGCGCGCAGCAGGUCGCCGGCGCUGAGGUGCACGCACUCGUAGUCGGCCUUAAUCUUGUCGCAUUGCGUCCCCUUGCCGCUGCCGGGGCCGCCGAGCACGAACACGAUCUGGGCGUCGGCAGGCAGGUUGCCGGGCACAGGUGGCAGCGCGAUGUCCUGCAUAAAAGCAACCAAGGGAACAAACGUGCAAUCAUAAGGUGUUGGCUGUGGCGCCGACCAUGACCCAGUGCCCUUGUACACAAAGCAAUGGGGCGUGCCGUACGCGCCGCACACACAGAACAGCGGUUUGGUGGCUGGAAACAUAAGAUGCGGCACGGUAUCCCUAUCUGCAGGUCGGCUUCUCAAGUGUUCAACUUAGGCAAGACGCACCUCCGAAGCAGCCGGGGCCGCUGCAAGUGCCGUCGCCGCUGCGCUCGCCUUCUUCGGCGCGUGCAAGCCCUCCAGCACCACCUUCACCUUGCCGUACACAUCGUCCGGAGCCGCCACAGCGCUGAUCACGUGGCACUUGCCCUGCGUAAGGUAGUGGUCCUUCACGGGCAGCGACUGAUCCAGGAAGGUGUGGAAGCGCUUGCGAAUGGUGUCGGCGUUGUCGUCGCUGCGGCCGCUGGUCUCCCCGCGCUUCAGCAGGCGCUUCUCCAUCUCCUCCUCCGGGCAGUCAAAGAACAGCACCGUCUUGCACGGCAUGAUGCUGCUCUCAAACUGCUCCGCCUGGUCCAGCGCGCGUGGAAAGCCGUCGAUGAGGAAGAACUUGCCGCCGCUGGCUAUCAUGUCCCGCUUCAGCAGGUUGAGCGUGACAGCCACCGGCACGAGCUUGCCCUCCUUCAUCAGCGCCUCGCACUUCUGGCCAACCUCGCUGCCGCUCUUCACCUCAGCGCGCAGCAGGUCGCCGGCGCUGAGGUGCACGCACUCAUACUCCUCCUUGAUCUGAUCGCAUUGCGUGCCCUUGCCGCUGCCGGGGCCGCCGAGCACGAACACGAUCUGGGCGUCGGCAGGCAGGCUGCCGGGCACGGGCGGCAGCGCAAACUCCUGCAUAGGGACGAAAAUGCAAUGGAAAUCAGCAAGCCGAGAUUAAUAAUCAGUGGAAACUUACGCAUCAGUACACUUGCACUUCAGUACGCAUCCUACUACCGGGAGGAUACGGUAAGGCAGGCAGGCAGAGGCCAUCGAUUUCACGCUUGCCCCAGCUUUCCGUACGAUGUACCGUAUGCUAGGUUGCUUGACCGGAACCCGUGCAAGACGCACACGGAUAUACCACCGGUGAACAGCCAUGACCGCUCACCUCCAAAGCAGCCGCAGCAGGAGUAGCCGAAACUGUCGCAGUCACGCCCGCCUUCUUCGGCGCGUGCAAGCCCUCCAGCACCACCUUCACCUUGCCGUACACAUCGUCCGGAGCCGCCACAGCGCUGAUCACGUGGCACUUGCCCUGCGUAAGGUAGUGGUCCUUCACAGGCAGCGACUGAUCCAGGAAGGUGCGGAAGCGCUUGCGAAUGGUGUCGGCGUUGUCGUCGCUGCGGCCGCUGGUCUCCCCGCGCUUCAGCAGGCGCUUCUCCAUCUCCUCCUCCGGGCAGUCGAAGAACAGCACCGUCUUGCACGGCAUGAUGCUGCUCUCAAACUGCGCCGCCUGGUCCAGCGCGCGCGGAAAGCCGUCGAUGAGGAAGAACUUGCCGCCGCUGGCUAUCAUGUCCCGCUUCAGCAGGUUAAGCGUGACAGCCACCGGCACGAGCUUGCCCUCCUUCAUCAGCGCCUCGCACUUCUGGCCGACCUCGCUGCCGCUCUUCACCUCAGCGCGCAGCAG